This 253-nucleotide ribosomal RNA is filed under the name uncultured bacterium. RNAcentral's name for it is "partial 16S ribosomal RNA". It matches the Rfam family "Bacterial small subunit ribosomal RNA", at positions 524 to 776 of the family's 1533-position model. The record is from RNAcentral.
UACAUAGGGGGCAAGCGUUAUUCGGAAUUACUGGGCGUAAAGGGCGCGUAGGCGGCCUGGCAAGUGGAAGGUGAAAUCCCUCGGCUUAACCGAGGAACUGCCUCCCAAACUGCUUGGCUUGAGACCAGGAGAGGUGAGUGGAAUUCCCAGUGUAGCGGUGAAAUGCGUAGAUAUUGGGAGGAACACCAGUGGCGAAGGCGGCUCACUGGACUGGUACUGACGCUGAGGCGCGAAAGCGUGGGGAGCAAACGGG